GAUAAGCAUCUGAUUAAACAGAAUUUUGCUUGCUUUACGUAAAUAAACUUAAAAAAUUAGAUGAAUUUUCUUCAUAUAUAUACCCUUAACUUAUCUUUUAUACGUACAAAAGAAUCAGUAGCUGGAAUACUUGGAAACUUUUGAAACCAAAAUUGAAGGAAAAAUGAAGUUUUACGGACUCCUUGUACUAAUUACUUGCUUGUUUGCUGUUUUGAAAGCCGACAGUUGUAAAGAUGAACUGGAAGAAGCUCAAAAAAUGGUUAAACAGGGUGUUCAAGACUAUCCUGUUCCUUCGUGUAGCGCAGAUGGUACAUACGCUCCUCAGCAAUAUGGAAGCUUUGGAAAUUGCUACUGUGUAGAUCCCAACGGAAAUAGAGUGGACAAAAAGUGCCCUUGCAGUUAAAUUAUUUUAUUUAUGCAUAAUGUACUGUGAUUUUUUCUAACCAGGCGAAAAAUAAAUAUUGAAAUUUCAUUAUGAA
Parasteatoda tepidariorum (common house spider) is the source of this 479-nucleotide non-coding RNA. The record is from RefSeq and is a predicted model, not a curated record. NCBI's taxonomy places the organism in Eukaryota, Metazoa, Arthropoda, Arachnida, Araneae, Theridiidae.